This 116-nucleotide ribosomal RNA is filed under the name Chromatiales bacterium. Lineage: Bacteria; Pseudomonadati; Pseudomonadota; Gammaproteobacteria; Chromatiales. The record is from RNAcentral.
CCUGGUGACAAUAGCAAGUAGGUACCACCCGAUCCCAUCCCGAACUCGGAAGUGAAAAUACUUAGCGCCGAUGGUAGUGUGGGGUCUCCCCAUGUGAGAGUAGGACAUUACCAGGC